RNAcentral lists this ribosomal RNA (491 nucleotides) under Punctodora ratzeburgensis. RNAcentral describes it as "SSU rRNA". It matches the Rfam family "Eukaryotic small subunit ribosomal RNA", at positions 37 to 534 of the family's 1831-position model. Lineage: Eukaryota; Metazoa; Nematoda; Chromadorea; Chromadorida; Chromadoridae. The record is from RNAcentral.
UCAAAGAUUAAGCCAUGCAUGUCUAAGAAUAAACCGAAUAUGGUAAAUCCGCGAAUGGCUCAUUACAACAGCCAUAGUUUAUUGGAUCUAUUAUCCUACUUGGAUAACUGUGGUAAUUCUAGAGCUAAUACACGCAUUCAAGCCCUGACUUCGGAAAGGGCGCAUUUAUUAGAACAAGACCAAUUGGCUUCGGCCAUCUAUUGGUGAAUCUGAAUAACUACGCAGAUCGCACAGGCUCGUCCUGGCGACAUAUCCUUCAAGUGUCUGCCUUAUCAACUGUCGAUGGUAGUUUAUUGGACUACCAUGGUUGUAACGGGUAACGGAGAAUUAGGGUUCGACUCCGGAGAGGGAGCCUGAGAUACGGCUACCACAUCCAAGGAAGGCAGCAGGCGCGCAAAUUACCCAAUCCCGGAACGGGGAGGUAGUGACGAAAAAUAACGAGACAGUCUUCUAUGAGGUCUGUCAUCGGAAUGGGUACAAUCUAAACCCUU